Molecule: ribosomal RNA, 339 nt
Filed under: Vibrio parahaemolyticus
Lineage: Bacteria; Pseudomonadati; Pseudomonadota; Gammaproteobacteria; Vibrionales; Vibrionaceae
Description: bacterial SSU rRNA
Rfam family: Bacterial small subunit ribosomal RNA
Source: RNAcentral
AAAUGUUGGGUUAAGUCCCGCAACGAGCGCAACCCUUAUCCUUGUUUGCCAGCGAGUAAUGUCGGGAACUCCAGGGAGACUGCCGGUGAUAAACCGGAGGAAGGUGGGGACGACGUCAAGUCAUCAUGGCCCUUACGAGUAGGGCUACACACGUGCUACAAUGGCGCAUACAGAGGGCGGCCAACUUGCGAAAGUGAGCGAAUCCCAAAAAGUGCGUCGUAGUCCGGAUUGGAGUCUGCAACUCGACUCCAUGAAGUCGGAAUCGCUAGUAAUCGUGGAUCAGAAUGCCACGGUGAAUACGUUCCCGGGCCUUGUACACACCGCCCGUCACACCAUGGG